This 192-nucleotide ribosomal RNA is filed under the name Meloidogyne fallax. RNAcentral's name for it is "partial 18S ribosomal RNA". It matches the Rfam family "Eukaryotic small subunit ribosomal RNA", at positions 1641 to 1831 of the family's 1831-position model. The record is from RNAcentral. Lineage: Eukaryota; Metazoa; Nematoda; Chromadorea; Rhabditida; Meloidogynidae.
UUGAUUACGUCCCUGCCCUUUGUACACACCGCCCGUCGCUGCCCGGGACUGAGCCAUUUCGAGAAAUUUGGGGACUGUUGAUUUAACUUUUUUAAAAAGUUUUUUUGAUGGAAACCAAUUUAAUCGCAGUGGCUUGAACCGGGCAAAAGUCGUAACAAGGUAGCUGUAGGUGAACCUGCUGCUGGAUCAUUA